RNAcentral lists this ribosomal RNA (337 nucleotides) under uncultured Anaerolineaceae bacterium. RNAcentral describes it as "bacterial SSU rRNA". It matches the Rfam family "Bacterial small subunit ribosomal RNA", at positions 1032 to 1382 of the family's 1533-position model. Lineage: Bacteria; Bacillati; Chloroflexota; Anaerolineae; Anaerolineales; Anaerolineaceae. The record is from RNAcentral.
GUACAGGUGCUGCAUGGCUGUCGUCAGCUCGUGUCGUGAGAUGUUCGGUUAAGUCCGCUAACGAGCGCAACCCUCGCUGUGUGUUACAAGUGUCACACGGAACUGCCGGUCAUAAACCGGAGGAAGGUGGGGAUGACGUCAAGUCAGCAUGGCCUUUAUAUCCUGGGCUACACACACGCUACAAUGGGAAGGGACAAUAGGUUGCGAAGCCGCGAGGCGGAGCCAAUCCAGCAAACUUCCCUCAGUUCAGAUUGCAGGCUGCAACUCGCCUGCAUGAAGUUGGAGUUGCUAGUAAACGCAGGUCAGCCAUACUGCGUUGAAUACGUUCCCGGGGCUU